AUCAACUUUCGAUGGUAGGAUAGAGGCCUACUAUGGUGGUAACGGGUAACGGGGUGUUAGGGCACGACACCGGAGAGGGAGCCUGAGAAACGGCUACCACAUCCAAGGAUGGCAGCAGGCGCGCAAAUUACCCAAUCCCGACACGGGGAGGUAGUGACAAUAAAUAACAAUACGGGGUUCUUUCGGAUCUCGUAAUUGGAAUGAGUACAAUUUAAAUCUCUUAACGAGGAACAAUUGGAGGGCAAGUCUGGUGCCAGCAGCCGCGGUAAUUCCAGCUCCAAUAGCGUAUAUUAAAGUUGUUGCAGUUAAAAAGCUCGUAGUUGAACUUCGGGGUUUACCCAUUGGUCAGGCUUAAUUGUCUGUACUGGUGAGAUGAAUCUCUACCUUCUGAGGAACUUUCAUGCCAUUUAUUUGGUGUGAUAGGAAAUCAGGACUGUUACUUUGAAAAAAUUAGAGUGUUUAAAGCAGGCUAACGUCUGAAUACAUUAGCAUGGAAUAAUGAAAUAGGACGGACUGAUUCUAUUUCGUUGGUUUCUAGGAUCACCGUAAUGAUUAAUAGGGAUAGUUGGGGGCAUUAGUAUUCAAUUGUCAGAGGUGAAAUUCUUGGAUUUAUUGAAGACUAACUACUGCGAAAGCAUUUGCCAAGGAUGUUUUCAUUAAUCAAGAAUGAAAGUUAGGGGAUCGAAGACGAUCAGAUACCGUCGUAGUCUUAACCAUAAACUAUGCCGACUAGGGAUCGGACGAAGUUAAUUUUAUAAUGACGCGUUCGGCACCUUACGGGAAACCAAAGUGUUUGGGUUC
This 801-nucleotide ribosomal RNA is filed under the name uncultured Diversispora. Its description in RNAcentral is "SSU rRNA". It matches the Rfam family "Eukaryotic small subunit ribosomal RNA", at positions 314 to 1114 of the family's 1831-position model. The record is from RNAcentral. Lineage: Eukaryota; Fungi; Glomeromycota; Glomeromycetes; Diversisporales; Diversisporaceae.